GACGAACGCUGGCGGCGUGCUUAACACAUGCAAGUCGAACGGAAAGGCCCUGCUUUUGUGGGGUGCUCGAGUGGCGAACGGGCGAGUAACACGUGAGUAACCUGCCCUUGACUUUGGGAUAACUUCAGGAAACUGGGGCUAAUACCGGAUAGGAGCUCCUGCUGCAUGGUGGGGGUUGGAAAGUUUCGGCGGUUGGGGAUGGACUCGCGGCUUAUCAGCUUGUUGGUGGGGUAGUGGCUUACCAAGGCUUUGACGGGUAGCCGGCCUGGGAGGGUGACCGGCCACAUUGGGACUGAGAUACGGCCCAGACUCCUACGGGAGGCAGCAGUGGAGAAUAUUGCGCAAUGGGCGGAAGCCUGAUGCAGCGACGCCGCGUGCGGGAUGACGGCCUUCGGGUUGUAAACCGCUUUCGCCUGUGACGAAGCGUGAGUGACGGUAAUGGGUAAAGAAGCACCGGCUAACUACGUG
RNAcentral lists this ribosomal RNA (468 nucleotides) under uncultured bacterium. Its description in RNAcentral is "partial 16S ribosomal RNA". It matches the Rfam family "Bacterial small subunit ribosomal RNA", at positions 28 to 507 of the family's 1533-position model. The record is from RNAcentral.